Molecule: ribosomal RNA, 845 nt
Filed under: uncultured candidate division SR1 bacterium
Lineage: Bacteria; Candidatus Absconditibacteriota
Description: bacterial SSU rRNA
Rfam family: Bacterial small subunit ribosomal RNA
Source: RNAcentral
GAUGAACGCUAGCGGGACGCCUAACACAUGCAAGUCGAACGACCCUUCGGGGGAGUGGCAAACGAGCGAGUAACACGUACCUAACCUACCCAGAAGAUGGGGAAAGCCAUACAGAUAUGGCUAAUCCCCGAUAAUCCCCGCAUUAUGAAAUAAGUGCGGGGCAAAGAUUUAUCGCUUUUGGAGGGGGGUGCGUCCUAUCAGGUAGUUGGUGGGGUAAUAGCCUACCAAGCCUAUGACGGGUAGCCGGUCUGAGAUGAUGUCCGGCCGCGAUGGGACUGAGACACGGCCCAUACUCCUACGGGAGGCAGCAGUGGGGAAUCUUGCACAAUGGACGAAACUCUGAUGCAGCGAUCCCGCGUGGAGGACGAAGCCCUAUGGGGUGUAAACUCCUUCUCUGGUGGAAGAAGAAUGGCGGGUACUCCCCUACAUAAGAGACAGAUAAGUACGUGCCAGCAGCGCCGGUAAUACGUAGGUCUCGAGCGUUAUCCGGAUUUACUGGGCGUAAAGCGUCCGUAGCCCGAUAUAUAAGUCUGUUUUCAAAUACUCUGACUCAAUCAGAGAAAGGGGAUAGAUACUGUAUAUCUAGAGAUUGUUAGGGGUUAGUGGAAUUUCAGGUGGAGCGGUGAAAUGUGUUGAUAUCUGAAAGAAUGCCGAAAGCGAAAGCAGCUAACUAUAAUAAAUCUGACGGUGAUGGACGAAAGCUUGGGGGGCGAACGGGAUUAGAUACCCCGGUAGUCCAAGCUGUAAAUUACGUCCCCCUCGGUGUCUCUUCUUCGGAAGGGGUGCCGUAACCUAACGGGUUAAGCAAAUCGCCUGUGUAGUAUAUUCGCAAGAAUGAAACACAA